GACGAACGCUGGCGGCGUGCUUAACACAUGCCAGUCGAACGGAAAGGCCCUGCUUGCAGGGUACUCGAGUGGCGAACAGGUGAGUAACACGUGGGUGAUCUGCCCUGCACUUCGGGAUAAGCCUGGGAAACUGGGUCUAAUACCGGAUAGGAGCCAUUUUUAGUGUGAUGGUUGGAAAGUUUUUUCGGUGUAGGAUGAGCUCGCGGCCUAUCAGCUUGUUGGUGGGGUAAUGGCCUACCAAGGCGGCGAAGGGUAGCCGGCCUGGGAGGGUGGACGGCCAAAUUGGGACUGAGAAACGGCCCAGAAUCCUACGGGAGGCAGCAGUGGGGAAUAUUGCACAAUGGGCGCAAGCCUGAUGCAGCGACGCCGCGUGGGGGAUGACGGCCUUCGGGUUGUAAACUCCUUUCGCUAGGGACGAAGCUUUUUGUGACGGUACCUAGAUAAGAAGCACCGGCUAACUACGUG
Molecule: ribosomal RNA, 465 nt
Filed under: uncultured bacterium
Lineage: Bacteria
Description: partial 16S ribosomal RNA
Rfam family: Bacterial small subunit ribosomal RNA
Source: RNAcentral